ACCCGCUGAAUUUAAGCAUAUAAGUAAGCGGUGGAAAAUGAACCAAAUGGGAUUCCUUUAGUAAUUGCGAAUGAACAAGGAUGUGCUCAGCUUGACAAAUGGAGUUUUUGAGCUUUGAAUUGUAAUUUUGCAAUGCAUCACCAGCGGAGGUACAGUUGCAAGCCUUUUGAAAGACAGCGCCAUUGAGGGUGAAAUUCCUUUUUGUCUUCUGCAACCUUUGUGCACGGUAUGUAUUUGGUGAAUCACAUUCCUCGGCAUUGGAAUGCAAAUUGGGUGGUAAAUUUCACGCAAGGGAAAAUAUAUUAUUGAGUCUGAUAAUGAACAAGUACCAUGAGGGAAAUAUGCAAAGGACUUUGAAAAGAAAAUUAAAAGAGCUUGCAUUUGCUAAACAGAAAACUAGCAGAAGUGCUUUAUCUUGGUAAGAUUGCUGCGCAUGGGUUUACUGUGUAAAUUGUAUGAGCAUUGGUUCUUACUUUGUGUGUCAAUUCCAUUGUCAAUUUUAAUAUCUUUGUUCAUGAAUUGUGAAAUGCUUGCGGGUGUUAGAUUGCAUGUGCAUUCAUUAAUUUGGACUUGGUGCAGUGCUUGGCAAUAGCUUGCAUGUAGAGUGUGCGUGCAAUGUACAAUUGCGAUUGUCAGCUGUUGCCAACCACUUUUGUUGGCAAUGUGAUUCUGCUUGACCCGUCUUGAAACACGGACCAAGGAGUCUAACAGAUGUGCAAGUUCUGGGGUGUGCACACCCUGUAGCUUAAUGAAUGUGUUUGCUGGGAUAUGUGCACCAGCAGCUGACUGAUUAACAGACAGAGGUUUGAGUUUGAGCAUAUCUAUUAGGACCCGAAAGAUGGUGAACUAUGCCUGCACAGAACGAAUCCAGAGGAAACUCUGGUGGAGGUUCGUAUUGAUACUGACGUGCAAAUCGUUCGUCAUACUUGGGUAUAGGGGCGAAAGACUAAUCGAACCAUCUAGUAGCUGGUUCCCUCCGA
Molecule: ribosomal RNA, 980 nt
Filed under: Alexandrium hiranoi
Lineage: Eukaryota; Dinophyceae; Gonyaulacales; Pyrocystaceae
Description: LSU rRNA
Rfam family: Eukaryotic large subunit ribosomal RNA
Source: RNAcentral